UGCCCGGUAGUGUAAUGGUAGCACAAGGGUUUUUGGAGCCCUCUGUCUAGGUUCGAGUCCUGGCCGGGCAGCCA
Molecule: transfer RNA, 74 nt
Filed under: bacterium
Lineage: Bacteria
Also listed under: 1 other name
Description: tRNA-Gln
Rfam family: tRNA
About the family: Transfer RNA (tRNA) molecules are approximately 80 nucleotides in length. Their secondary structure includes four short double-helical elements and three loops (D, anti-codon, and T loops). Further hydrogen bonds mediate the characteristic L-shaped molecular structure. tRNAs have two regions of fundamental functional importance: the anti-codon, which is responsible for specific mRNA codon recognition, and the 3' end, to which the tRNAs corresponding amino acid is attached (by aminoacyl-tRNA synthetases). tRNAs cope with the degeneracy of the genetic code in two manners: having more than one tRNA (with a specific anti-codon) for a particular amino acid; and 'wobble' base-pairing, i.e. permitting non-standard base-pairing at the 3rd anti-codon position.
Source: RNAcentral